CGGGGUGUGGCGCAGUUCGGUAGCGCGCACCGUUCGGGACGGUGAGGCCGUCCGUUCAAAUCGGAUCACCCCGACCA
This 77-nucleotide transfer RNA is filed under the name Candidatus Nomurabacteria bacterium. Its description in RNAcentral is "tRNA-Pro". Lineage: Bacteria; Candidatus Nomuraibacteriota. The record is from RNAcentral.